GAUGAACGCUGGCGGCGUGCUUAACACAUGCAAGUCGAACGGAAAGGCCGAAGCUUGCUUCGGUACUCGAGUGGCGAACGGGUGAGUAACACGUGGGUGAUCUGCCCUGUACUUCGGGAUAAGCUUGGGAAACUGGGUCUAAUACCGGAUAUGACGAUCUCUUGGAUGGGGUUGUGGAAAGCUUUUGCGGUAUGGGAUGAGCUCGCGGCCUAUCAGCUUGUUGGUGGGGUAAUGGCCUACCAAGGCGUCGACGGGUAGCCGGCCUGAGAGGGUGUACGGCCACAUUGGGACUGAGAUACGGCCCAGACUCCUACGGGAGGCAGUAGUGGGGAAUAUUGCACAAUGGGCGCAAGCCUGAUGCAGCGACGCCGCGUGGGGGAUGACGGCCUUCGGGUUGUAAACCCCUUUCGCAAUCGACGAAGCCUUUUGGUGACGGUAGGUGGAGAAGAAGCACCGGCUAACUACGUG
Molecule: ribosomal RNA, 468 nt
Filed under: uncultured bacterium
Lineage: Bacteria
Description: partial 16S ribosomal RNA
Rfam family: Bacterial small subunit ribosomal RNA
Source: RNAcentral